UUUUUUGUGGUGCAGUGGUCUGAGUGUUGGAUUACAACUCUGGAGAUCAGGGUUCGAUUCCCUACUUGAAAU
Phrynosoma platyrhinos (Desert horned lizard) is the source of this 72-nucleotide non-coding RNA. Lineage: Eukaryota; Metazoa; Chordata; Lepidosauria; Squamata; Phrynosomatidae. The record is from the annotation of a GenBank genome assembly.